This 440-nucleotide ribosomal RNA is filed under the name uncultured bacterium. RNAcentral describes it as "partial 16S ribosomal RNA". It matches the Rfam family "Bacterial small subunit ribosomal RNA", at positions 338 to 795 of the family's 1533-position model. The record is from RNAcentral.
CCUACGGGAGGCAGCAGUGGGGAAUAUUGCACAAUGGGGGGAACCCUGAUGCAGCGACGCCGCGUGAGUGAAGAAGUAUUUCGGUAUGUAAAGCUCUAUCGGCAGGGAAGAAAAUGACGGUAACUGACUAAGAAGCCCCGGCUAACUACGUGCCAGCAGCCGAGGUCAUACGUAGGGGGCAAGCGUUAUCCGGAUUUAAUGGGUGUAAAGGGAGCGUGGACGGUUAUGCAAAUAUGAAGUGAAAGCCUAAGGCUCAACCAUGGGACUGCUUUGGAAACUGUAAAACUGGAGUGCAGGAGAGGUAAGCGGAACUCCUAGUGUAGCGGUGAAAUGCGUAGAUAUUAGGAGGAACACCAGUGGCGAAGGCGGCUUACUGGACUGUAACUGACGUUGAGGCUCGAAGGCGUGGGGAGCAAACAGGAUUAGAUACCCCAGUAGUC